RNAcentral lists this small RNA (852 nucleotides) under Vigna angularis var. angularis. Its description in RNAcentral is "Non-protein coding transcript". The record is from RNAcentral. Lineage: Eukaryota; Viridiplantae; Streptophyta; Magnoliopsida; Fabales; Fabaceae.
AGAGAAGUGGGCUCAGUAAGUUUGCUAAACAGGCCUAAGGCCCAGUAAGACCUCAUAAACAUAAACCCUACCUUUACAAAUAGAGGAUAUCUACCUCUGGCAUUGGGAUUUUACCGGUAGCCGCUGCAGCUGAACGUUUCAGAGAGAGAAGCAUCUAUUCAUCAAAAUGGGUAAGGUUCACGGAUCUCUCGCACGUGCGGGCAAAGUGAGAGGACAAACUCCUAAGGUGGCCAAGCAAGACAAGAAGAAGAAGCCACGCGGACGCGCUCACAAGCGAAUGCAAUACAACCGCCGAUUCGUCACCGCUGUGGUGGGAUUCGGUAAGAAGCGUGGACCAAACUCGUCGGAGAAGUGAGGGGCUUGCGGAUGAUUUUGGGUUUUCGUAGUUUGCAAAAUGUAUCACUUGUUUUUGUUUUUAUUUGAUUGAUGACUGAAACCUUGAUAGUUACGUUAUGCUUCAAUGAAGGAGUUUUUUUGGCUAGUUUAUUUCAAAACUUUAUAUUUCCCUCUUACGGACGAUUGUUUUAGAGACUUUCCUCCACACUUUUUGUUUUGCUUCUAUUGAAUAUAGAGGUGAAGUAAGCAAACAUGGAAUACCAAGCUUAUAACUGAUAUAUAUUUGUGCUGAUUUUAGCCUAUUCAGUUCUUAUGUCAUGUCCUUUUUUAAAUGUUACAAACAAUACCGUUUGGAGGCCUAUUAGAGGAAAGCAUCAUUUUGGUCACCAUCUUAUAUCUGCCUCCGACGGUGUUGUAAUCAAGUGUUCAUUUCUGGCUUUUGUUAAUAAUUGCUAAAUAAAUGUUGGAAAACAUUGAGGGAUUUUGAUUUCUGGAAUUGGUACAUUUGAAGCCAUG